AUAAUCUUUUUUCUGGGCUGGUUGAAUCUCUCACAUUCUCCACUUUCACAUGCAGGACACCUUUCUCUUCUUGCCAUCCUUUUGUUGCAAGUCUCUGUUUCCUUAAGGACCGGCUUCCUAGGGACUUUGUUGCAAUGAGACAUUUUUUUUGGCUGGAGUUUGAGACCUUAGAGGUUUACAGUUUUCUGUUUUCCUUCACCCAGAAAAGAAAUAAUAGGAAUUGUAAGAGGAACUGAGAUUCUUAUUUUGCUACAAGGUCCUAGCAGCCACAAUGACUUCUUGUCUCCCCCUCUGCUCUCCCAGUAAAGCAUUAAAUGACUUAGAAGACCUGAAAACACUUAGAUUAAAAAAUAAAGAAAAAAAAAAAAAAACUCCACCAUAAAGAUUAAAAUAAAAGAGGUGUUAAGACUUCUGAAAACCAGUGGCCUGUAUUUAAGCCUGUCCUGUACUUUCUAGAGCACCUAAGAAAGGAACAAUUCUGUAAAAAUAAUGGAUUAUUAGUGCAUUUAAAAGAAACAAAGCCUGCAGCUUGUCUGUUGCCUAGCAAAGAGUUUUAACAUUAAUUAAAAAACACAUUUACAGCAGCUGGUAGACAAGGCAUAGCUGGGGAAGAGGGGCAGCUUAGCUCUGAUGAUUGAAUUGCUUCACCUGGAGGUGGUCACAAGCUCUUGGCUCUGUGCAGAGGUUUGGGCUUCUGUAGUCUGGUGCAGUUGCCUUGUGGGGGCUUUGAAAGAGCAGAUCCCAGCAAUGAGUCUACUUCCACACACCUACAAAUCCGAGGAAGCUUGGGGAGCAGAGGUUAACUCCUUCGGCUGAGCCACAGACCUGCCUCUUCCUUCUGGUGCAGUGUAAUCUGUAUACCUGCGUUUGCAGAUGCAAAUUGGUCUUACCUGAUUACAUCCACCAGGAGGGCAAACAGUUCAGAGCUGUACAGCAAGAUCAUCAAAGCAAUUUUUAUGUUUGCAGCUUCUCAAUUACCAGAAAGCUACAGAGGUAUGGAGACACAGUGCUGUUAAUUUGGGGAAAUUAUUAGAGGUUGCUUCACACGAUGAUAUGGACUUCACUUAUUCAAGAGGAGUUAUCUCUAUCCUGAUAAGAAAUGAGAAGAUCACAGAAUUUCUGCCCAGACCAGUGUUGUUGCUCUCUGUUGAUGAAGCCUUUGGAAAGGACCUGUCUUCCUCACUGAUCUCACACUGUAAUUUCUUCAUGCUCCCAACCGGUUUGAGUCAGUGAUUGAAUAUAUGAGCCCUCAGGAGCAACGGAGAUGUGUUUGUGUUGUCUGGUGUGGUACCCGCUCUGUUCCUUGUCAGUACCUUGGCAACUGGUGAAUGAUUUUCUAGUGCAUCAAGGAAGAAGAAGCCAGAGAGUUGCAUGAAGGCCAGAAGGUAUAUUUUUCUUCCCAGCAGAGGAACCUGUUAGUUGGUAGAUGUCUUUUCCCUGUUGUGAGGAGAAAUGACUACUGUUCCACCAAAUCAAGGGACAAACAAAUCCACAAGCAUUAUUUUCCUUGAAUAGGACUAGAUUUAGUCUUGGACUGACUGUGGCUGCUGAGUCAGUCUGGGUGCAUCUGAAAAUCUUGUAGUAACAUUCAGAAAGAGCUGACGACAGCAGGAGCAUCAUUGUCUCAGCUGGAACUAAAGCUCCAGAACUUUUGUGGAGAUACCCUGAGGUUUCAACUAGCAAGCACCCUGGUGGCUAGAACUAGCAUUGCCUCCUUCAUCAGACGUCUGAAAGCUGCCCUGUAACCUGUCCAUAUCCUGAAUGAUCCUGAGCCUGCUGAACCUACAAGAGGCACAAGUCGUGGCAGCAAUUAUUUGUAAUAGUAGCAGUUAUCUCCUGGCCCUGCUUUAUGAACUGAAAACCCAGGUGCUUUGCCUGGGACUAGGUCCGGUUGAGAGCAGCAGAAAUAGGAUCUUUUAGCGAUAUCCAUCCCUCAGCUAGAGGGUUCCCUAUCAUCUGGUGCUCAGAGAAGGCGACUUUCAGAUGUCUCUCGUUUGCUCUCGCCACGCUGAUUAAGCCCUUCCCUCCUCGUGAAAGGCAGGAGAGGAGGAGCGCUGGGCUAAUUGCAUCACAUUAAGCUGCCUUCAGCUAUUUUGCCUGCCUGAUGUGUCACAGGAUUCAGACUGCAGUUGUCUCUGCCCCCGUGGUGGUGGUGUUCCAGACGGGCCGUUUAACUCUCUUUUCUGCCCUCUUAAUAUUUUGGGAAUAGAAGAAAAAUGAAGGAUUUUUUAUAUGGCAGGAUCUCAUCACUCAAACCACUGAAGCUCUGUCAUCUCCACCUGCUUCUCUUUUAGCUCCCAGAGAAAGGAAGGUGUCGAGUGUACAAGAGGAUGCUCCUGCUCCAGAGGCUUUCAGCACGUUGCAGGUUCUCCAAAGUUGUGUUGCCAAGACUGAGAAAAUGCAGCUGUGUGAGCACCAAACCAUACUGGGGCUUUCCAGUUUACACAGAUGAUCGUCAGCUUAAAGCUUUAAGGGGCUUCGUUAGAUGAGGAUUCAUUAAGAUGCAGCUGCUGGUGUUGUUUUUAACUCACGUGUGUGUUUUUUCCUCCCGACUAGAAGUUGAGAAAGAGGCAUUUAUUCCCAUCAUACAUACACAUAAUUUUAAAUUUGCAGCAAUUUCACUAAGAUAAAACUGGAAUUGCCUGUGCCCUGGUGUCAGUUUCAUCAGACAAACUGAAAGCAACGGAUCCUAAUGAGGUGCUGUAAGAGAUCUGUUUUUAUCUCUAUGAUUAUGGAGACAUUAAGUGAACCUGGUUUUUGUCUUUUCAGCAGCUGAGCAGACGUGUUUUGCCAUUACUGACAUAAAGCAGUCAGAACAGAACAAUCAAGCUGCUGCUCUGGACUGUGGGUGCCCUGCGAAGGGAGCUGCGUGUCUGUGUCUUAACAGGUCUCCACAGCUUGGUCCCACUUACCUUGUCACCACUUAAGCUGUGCCAUGUCAUCAACCCUUCCCUACCACCAUGCUAACCUUUCCCAGUCUCCUCAUUUCUCCAUAAAAGCUUUCGUCCUCGCUGAGAAGAGCCCGUGAUCCAAAAGUCCCCUUCCUUCCUUCUGCUCUCUCUGGCCAGCUCUCGGUGCUCUUCCAUCUGCAGUCCCGAGGUGGGUGAAGAAGCUUUUGUCCUGUUGUUGCACCACUUUGGGUUGCUCAGGAAACAGCUCAGAUGUGCACCCCAAGCUGUCAGCGUGCCUUGCAGGGGUUGUCCAGGCUCACUCCAAGCUACCUGGCUACCAGCAGUGCCUCCGCAGCAGCCCAGCUCCUGCAAAGAAGCAAGGUCAUUAGCAGAGCUCCUCAGGCCAUGGUGCCUGCACACUCGCUUUGAAUAAGUCCAGAUGAUGUGCUAGUAUGCUCUAGAUGCAGAAUACUUAUAAAGCCACUUGGCUACAGGAUGCAAAGCAAAAUCAGAGCCCUUCAGGCUUGGCCCAGAGGCAGUUUGCUGUUUGGAGCCGACGUGUUGCAAUCCCUGACUUUCUCCACAGCACCUUAAACCUGGUCAGAGUUGUAAAAUGUUUCCCUUCAGACAAUCUAUGGCUAUUUUCCACAAUGACAACGGUUCUCCUACAGCUGGAACUGGUGGCUCCGGGGCCUUUUGGGGGUUUGACCUUUUCAUGCUUCAGUAACGGGGAUGAAGCUGUACUGAGUCUACGUGCAAGCGAUGACAGAGCAGCUGGCUGGCUGUGCCUGCCUGAAACACUGAAAAUAAUUGUAUGUAGUUACCUUGUACUUCUCACCCAGACUCUCUGUUGAUUGGAUUUGGCUGUUAUCUAAGGUUUUUUAUGUAUUUAGGCUGUAAAACCCUUUAAAACCAGCACCCUCGCUGCCCGCUUGGAAGAGCAGAGAGGAAGGAAGCGUGCAAAGUCGAAGCGAUGCGCAGCCAUCGCCUUCCAGAGAGACCCGAUCACCUGCAACGUGAUAGACGAGCAAACGCGCUGUUUCAGUGUGCCUAAUGGUGUUCGGGAGGAUGCCAUACAGAAAAUAAUGACAAUGUUCUUGAACACCAGGAUGCUUUUAAAACACUGGAACAUGCAGUGCAGCUGCCUCCCCACCAGGAGCCACUGGCAAUCUGACUUAAUUAACAGAUCCCUUCACGUUUUACAGCAGGGAUGUUAUUUUGUAGAAAAGCAUCGUCCAAGGAAGAGCGGUGCCUCAGCACCACGGAGAGACGGAGACAAGCAGCAAUCUGGAUUUUGCUUUAGAGGCUUUUAGAAACAAGCAGCUCUGAUUAGCUCAUUGCUGGCCCAGCCAAAAUAAUAAUUCAUCGGGCUUGGAAAGCUCCGUUAAAGAGGAGGGCAGGAGGAGCAUCUCAUUUUACAGAUGUGUUGGAGGAGAGACAGUUGUUUGAUAGCGGAGUGUGGCAGUGGAGGUGCUGUGGUGGUGGGUGGCGUGGAUCCUGCCCUGAUGUGGGUGGCAGCGGUGCAUUUGGGUGACUGUCCUUGACUGACCGGCAGCUCCUCCAUCCUAUCGUCUAAAUGAGGUUUUUCUCAACAAACACAGAGAUUAUAACAGCGAAGUUCGUUAAAAACUAAAGAGCAGAACCAUGCUAAUGGGGACUAUGCCAAUACCUGUCCAAGACAACCUGCAGCCUAAAAAAAAAGAUGAAAGGAGCAGAGUUGCAGAGCAACAGGGUUUUUAACUUGAGAAACUAAGUUGACUGUAGAGCCUGGUGUGCCUCUGUCUCAGUGGGAACUCAUGUAUUGUUAUGAUCUGCAUUGCUAAUGAUCUUAUGAAUUAUUAUGAUCUACAACGCUUGCUUAAAUGUGACUGUGGUCUGGGGAUGGGUACCUGAAAUUACAGCAUGAGAAGUUCCUAGGGGGGAGUUGUUGGGUGUCUGGUUGUGCUUCUGUGAUGGGUGAAGGAUUAGGAUCCCAGUGCGACGUGGGAGACAGCAGAGAAAACGAGAAGGUGACACCGGGAGCUGUUGAUCUACAGCACAGAAACCACUAACCCAGCAGAACUCUAUUUUUACGGAAGAAAAAAAAUGGCACAUCUUCCUGAGCUUUGCAGGGCUGUAUGUCAAUUCUUGCUCAAAGGGAUUGCGAGAGACUAGCGCGUCGUGAUCACAGAGAUUAGGAUUUUAAUACCUUCCCCACCUGUAUUCCUCUUCGCGCAAAGUGUGCCAAGGAGCUGCAAGUCUGUGACUCUGCCAUUCACUCCGUGAUGAGCCUGGUAAACCACGAAGCAUUAUUUCUGACUGCUGAUCAUGCAAGCUGUUCGGGAGCAAAAACUUGAGCGCGGGAGUGGUUUAGAUUCGUGGUACCGGUUCCUGGAUCAACCUCUACUUUUAGCAGCCCUUGGGAUAACAGCAGCAGGAAUCAAUGAAACCAGUCAGGAAACCAAUCAUCCACCUGGGAUGCAGAGGGCGAGGGGAGGUGUGAUUUCUGUAGCUGAAUUUCUGGAGGUCGUGAUGAAGCCAGCAAAGAGAGAAGCAGGGAGAAGCCCCCGGCUCUACAUCAGGCCAAGCCUGGUGAGGAAAGGAUGGGACGACAGAGGCAAUCCCACACCCUCACCAAAGGGAUCGGGUAAAGAACCCAAUUCCUUAGCCCGUUGUUGCCAUCGUGCAGCUCUGAGCUCUCGUGCUGGGAUCCAGCCUCUGCCUUUGACAGCAGCAGCAGGAGAAAGAGGCACCUGGGGAGCUGGAAAUGGAGCUUAAAGCUGAAUUUUAUCCGUGUUAGCAGGAGUGAUCAGAUUACAAAGAAGGAAGAAAGAAAGAAAUGCAUCUGGGCUUAUAUCCAAUUGGAUUACUGUCAACCACAUCCAGCUGAGAAGGGAAAAGACAGAUGUAUUGAUGGUCACUGAAAUGAGAUGGAACAAAAGACGACAACCUGAGCAGAGAAGAAAAGGCACAACAGCUGCUCCUUCUCCUCGUUUUCUCCUUCUGCCCAUGGGCCACGUCCAGGUUUGAUUUCUUCACGCCCACUUGCCAUGUUCAGCCGGAUCCAAGAGUCAAAUGGGCUGCGGAUGGAGAACUCCCCAGCAGGAGUCACAGACGAUAGUGUUGGCAAUUCCAGAUCUUUGGUGGCUCCCAGUCAUCUGUCAAACGUUAAGUCUCAAAAGCCCUUAUUUAAAAUUCAAAGGCAAGAAACUUUGGCCUAGAAGAAUGUGGAUAUAUUUAAAAACAUCAAAACCAGAAACCUCAGCAAGCAAACCAAAUAAUCAAACAGUUUAAUCAGCAUGCUGCCCGUCGGUCUUUGCUCUUAUCAUUGGAAGUUUCAGAGGCACAGCUCAGGAAAAGAAGUGUGUUAUUUUGUUUGAAAGAGAGCAAGAGUGACAGCGAUGCUCCUUGGGAGGGCCUUGUCCUGCGGAUGGCUUCCCAGUCAAAACCAGCGGGAUUUGGACUUGCAGCUGCAUUUCAAUCAACCUGGAAAAGUCUCCUUGAAACGAUUUGCCCAGAUGUUGGCCUUAUUUAAAAAUGAGCUUUAACCUGGAGCUUCCCUGUCACCGUUCCCAUCCCCUGGAGCACUGAAGAAGCAGUAGCAGUGACGAGCAAACUCUUCCAGAGCCCCACUUUGAAAUGGACACCCAAAGGAUUUAAUUAUUUCCCUGGGCCUGAUGCUUGACUAUUUCCAGUGCAACUCUGGCUGCUCACGCAUUAGUUUCAGUUGAGAUUGCUGGCGUGCCGCCAGAGCGAGGAAGUAUAUGGAUUAAUUAUAGGCCUGGCCACCUGCUUCACCUAGCGCCAGCUCCCUGGAUUUGUAGCUAAUUUCACGUUGGCAGGCUCUAGCCUUGUGAUGGUGGAAAUGGAAGCGGGCUUGCACAAUGCUGCUUUCACCAACGUAAUAAAUUCUGAAUGUCCUGCUCGAUAUUCUGCAAAAUAAAUUGGAAACGCAAAAGUAGACUUUGCUCAUUAAAUCCGUGUACGGAUCUGGAAGGGAGUAGGGAAGAAGUGAUCGGGUCCUCCAGCCUCUUGCAGCUCCCCUUCCCUUGGGCUGUGAUGACUUAUAGAAGGGGAACGGGAUGUUGGCGGUAGGCGAUAGGUGACUGCUGUUCAGGGAAAUGGGCAUUUUUUCAGGUCAUUUCCAAAUAAAGCGGGGCCAACGAUCGCUGGCAGUUUCUCUUAACUGAGGUGCUUUUUCUCAUUGCCUGUUUGCCUCCUCUCACUCCAGAUUGUUGUAGGCUAAAGGACUGAAAUGGCAUGUUGGGAUGAAGCUUUGCUUGCUUGCUCAGUAUCCUCUCAAAGCUUUGUUAUAAGGCGGCUGAAUUUCUCUGUUUUAGUUUCCCAUACUGAGGGGAGAUGGAUAUAAUAUUCUGACUCCUUCCGUCUUCUGGAUAAUUCAAGUUGUGAGCUCCUUGGGGUAAUGAAAAUUCUCACCGUACCGGUACAGAGUGCUUACAAACGUACUGUAAUCUUGUCCUGGGCUUCUAAACCCCACUGCACUGGAAGUUAUAUAGCAAUGAAGAGCCUGGAAAGCACCUGGGAUUCAGUGCUGACCUCUGUAAUACACAAUCUCCGUAUCAUACCGCAGGGAACAAAUCAGUCAAACAACAAGGGGCAUGGAAAUAAGGAUAAUCAACAAGUUCUCUCACUCCCCUUAACCUCUGAGGAAAUAAAACAGCCAAGGAGAGAAUCCUUAAUUCCUCCUGAAUGCGGGAUAACACCGUUGUUCUUCAUGGCAAGUCCAAUAAGGCUCCUUUUCCUUGCUGUGUUUGUAUCCCUGCCUCUGCACUCUCUUGGUCCCUCCACCAUUUUCUGUUGUUUUCUAGCAAAGCAGGAAUCUGCUAGGGUUAUCGGGGUGGCCAUACAGUCUCUACCGUAGGGGAAAAGCUGUUCUUGCGAAAGCGUGUGUUUUUUGUUGAAAUUAUUUGAGCUGUUUGACUUCUGUGAAUGCACAAUGCACCAACAGAUGAGCUGGGGAUGACGUUUUGCUUGGGAGUACCCAGUAGGAGCAGGUAGCAGAGGGAUGCUGUGACCAUUGGGGUAGCAUCGAUACCUUGAUAGGCAGGUAGAAAAUCCAGCCUGCUUGGGAGAAGAACCUGAAGGCUCAAUCCUUCUCCCACCUGAAAAAUUUCUGCCUUGUUGUAACUUUACUGACGUGGUCCUUAGCCAGAAAGGAGACGUAGCUUGCCUUGUUUGCUCACACCCCGUUAUGAGCCCCGCAUGUAGGCUGAGCACUGAGAAAGUCCCUGCUGAAUGCUUCAGUGUUCUGUUACCCACAGAUUUUAAUCUUUUUUGGUUCAGUUUUAGCUUUUUACGUGUCUAAAAUGGGGUUCUACAGAAAGCAAAUCAUGGAGAAAGCCUGGCUUGAAAAGCAAAACUUGUCUGUUAUGGUGUGAGUUACGAUCGGUCAUUUCUGCCCAUGCAAAUAAAUCAAAGGAUUUUUGUCCUAUUUUACAGAGGGUAGAGAAGAUAGAUGCUGGAGUCUGAUGUCUGAAAUGAAAUUUAAUUAAGCUUUCUUCUUCUUUAUGGCAGCCUGGAGUUUGUUUAGCCUAUCCUAGUAUCUGAAAAAUCAUUAUUAGACCAAUAAUUUCUGAUGAACAUGUUCUAGGAAAUAGUGUCAAUUAUAACUGUGUAGGACUUUGUUAUUUCAGUCUAUUACCUGUAAAUGAGUUAUUCAGGAACAAGAAGUUCAAUUGAUAAAAGGCAAAAAAUCAAUAGGUAAGAUUGUUGAGAUUAAUUCUGAGUUUGUAAUGGAUUUUUCCUCAUCGAGGUUUCCAAAAGCUUUUUUAGACUAUCUGUCAUAGAUCUAAAUUUAAGUUUCCUGGACCUAAAUGUGUGACUAAACUCAAGCGAAACUUUUGUAAAUCCUUAUUUUUACAUUAAGUUUGUUAAUAAUUUCAAAAUUGCAGCCAUUGGGGAUAAAUGAUGAGAGCUAUAAAAACACUCAGGACCUUCUUUAGCAGAAAUUGCAGUGAGUUUUCUGGAUGCAAUACAUUAAUAACAAAGGGAUCGUUUAGUUUCAUGUUUAUGUUCCCGUGCGUGUCAAGGAUGGGGAAGUUAUUGUGCAGGGUGCUGUACCUGCUCAAGGAGAGUCAUUCAGAGAGAUUUUUGUCUAUAUAGGGAAGGGAAAGGGAAUGUUAAUCCCAGUUUCUGACUGGGAAUGAGGAGCCUAAGUGCUUAGCCAAAGGGAUGCUGUGGCAGACAGAAAUUUGAACCUUCCUUGUACUGGGGAAUUUUGAUAUGACAGGGAGAGGACUAGAAAAUAAAAAAUUUCGAUAUGAUAAUCUUGUAUAACAUAUGGGUGGGAUGGUGAAAGGGAUGGGACAUAAUUCCUUCGUGCUGAGACUCGAGCCCCUGGCUCAUUGAGGUGUUGGAGCAAUUACCUAGCUGUAUCAAGACGUGCAGAAUUUAUUUUCAAAUCCAUUUUCUAGUAACAUGUGGGAAGUAAGAUGGGCUGAGAAGCCUUUUUAGGCUUAACUUUGGCUGGAAACUUGCCCCUCUGCUCUGACACCCUUGGAACUCUGAAACCAACGCGUGUUUUGCCAUCCUUCCUCUCAUCACCCUCUCUCCCUGUUGUCUUUGCUGAGCACUUCAUAAAUUCUGAUUGCCUGAAGACUGGAGAAGCGUCGAGCAUCCUUGAAGAGUCCUUGUCCACUCCUUUCAUGUGACCACAACAGGUCUCCCAGGAUGUUUUGAAAAAGUGCUGCUGAGUCUGUUCUUCUUCUGCUGGCAUUUGACACUGGUGACACCCAAGUUUCUCAUUUCCUUUUACUUUUUGUGCUGAACCAGCAUUUGCUGGCUCUCCAUCCAGCCACCUUUCACUGUCACUGGACGGAAGCUGAGAGCCAUCAUCUGCAUCUCCGAGCCCAUCAAUUAGUUUCUGUUUUAAUCAAGGAAUCGUAUCUUUCUCUUCGGGCCCAUCAAUCAUCCCUGGCUCUUUGUGAAGCUGCAGCCAUCCAUCCUUCACCUGCCUCAUUACUCAGGGGAUGCUUGUGCCGCGAUGGUGGGCAGGAGGUUGCUGUGCCAGCACUCCCUGCGGCGCGGAGAGAUUGCAGCCUGCUCCUCUGCAGCAGGCAGGACCUCAAUAUUUCUUCCUUUCUUCCCCCCUUGCUUCAGGGGGCUCAGGCCACUUGGGAUGAGCUUUUUUCUUGCAUAGCUUUAGCUCAUUCCUGCUCGGGCAGGGCUCUCCACAAUCUAGGAGUUGUACAGUGUCGUUUGGCAUCAAAUCGGCUUUGCAGCAGCUCUGCCUCUGCAGCAGGGAACGCACCCAGGAGAAGCCCACUGAGCAAGCAGUCAUCAUCAGUCACAUCUCUACUGGUGUGCCGGUAAUUAAUUAAGCAUGUAGUAGACCUAAUGGAAUGCAAAACAAUGCCCAGAGUUAAUGCCGUGAUUUCUGACCCUUGUUAGUGUCCUGCUGCCAGUGGGUGAAGUAACAGCAGAGUGUUUUGGAGGAGUGACAUGCAUGUAAAUCCCCUGCUAGGAGUAAGGACAACACGACGAGAUGCUGCUACAUUCCUUGUUCUCCUUAUCAUGGCCUGCAGUAUGAAGAAAACCCCUCUCACUGCAGACAGAAAGAUGUGCCCACACCUGGGGAGAGAUGUCCCUGUGUUAGCCUCUCAUUUUGGGCAGGGGUCACGCCGCAUUUCUCUGUCGCAUCCCAUGCUUGACUGCAGCGGUGCCAGCAAAAGCAACGCCGUGCCCUGCAGAGCUCGAGGAGAGGAGGGGUUAACCCCCAGACCCUCCACAUCGCGUCCAGGCGUGUGAAGAAGCAAAUAAGACAAGUGUAGCGAGGCAUAUUUCUCAUUAAACAUAGCAACUGGAAACACAGCUACUGGAAAAGGGAGCUCAUUUAUCAUAUCUCAGGGAUGACACCGGGUUUUAUUAGCUCCGGGGCUGUAGGUAAACUCCUUGCUGUCUUUCUGGGUAGCACAAGGAAUCAGAGCAUCGCAGUUGCUAGCGUUUCAGCCAAACUCCUGUUUUCGUGUUUCCUGGCUGCUCUUAUUAAUUGUGUGAUAUAAUUCUGGGCAAUAAUGUCCAAGCCUAUCAGGACGAAGCCUGGUGUGUGCCCCGCAGAGACUCUGGUCCCAGGCACAGAGACCUCCAUUGCCAACGUGGAUUUAGCUUCUGCAUCUUGAAACUUUGCUCCCUGGGACCGUGGCUCUCAUAUUCAGCCAAUGCCUUCAGAAAGUGAUUUUUCAGGGCAAAUGCCAGACCUUCAGCUGCCAUGCGCAAGGCAAUGACAACAGCUGCUUUAUCAUGUCUUUGUUUCUUUUCCAGAUAGCAGCAGUUG
Anas platyrhynchos (mallard) is the source of this 11163-nucleotide non-coding RNA. The record is from RefSeq and is a predicted model, not a curated record. NCBI's taxonomy places the organism in Eukaryota, Metazoa, Chordata, Aves, Anseriformes, Anatidae.